RNAcentral lists this ribosomal RNA (440 nucleotides) under uncultured bacterium. Its description in RNAcentral is "partial 16S ribosomal RNA". It matches the Rfam family "Bacterial small subunit ribosomal RNA", at positions 338 to 795 of the family's 1533-position model. The record is from RNAcentral.
CCUACGGGAGGCAGCAGUGGGGGAUAUUGCACAAUGGGGGAAACCCUGAUGCAGCGACGCCGCGUGCGGGAAGACGGUCCUCUGGAUUGUAAACCACUGUCCCCAGGGACGAAGAUGACGGUACCUGGGGAGGAAGCUCCGGCUAACUACGUGCCAGCAGCGGCGGUAAUACGUAGGGAGCGAGCGUUGUCCGGAAUUACUGGGUGAAAAGGGAGCGUAGGCGGGACUGCAAGUAGGGUGUCAAAUCUACCGGCUCAACCGGUAGCCGCACUCAAAACUGCAGUUCUUGAGUGAAGUAGGGGCAGGCGGAAUUCCUAGUGUAGCGGUGAAAUGCGUAGAUAUUAGGAGGAACACCAGUGGCGAAGGCGGCCUGCUGGGCUUUUACUGACGCUGAGGCUCGAAAGUGUGGGGAGCAAACAGGAUUAGAUACCCGGGUAGUC